GAGCUUAACAUGGUAUUCACGUGUAUGAAGAGCUUGGAGUAUUCACUGGGCAAACUCUUUGAUUCUACAAUAGCUGAUGAGGGAACAUGGACUUUGGAGGACAGAAAAAUGGUUCGUAUUGUUCUUACAAAGACAAAGAGAGAUGCAGCAAAUUGUUGGACUUCUCUACUAGAAUCUGAAUAUGCAGCGGAUCCUUGGGUGCAAGACCAAAUGCAGAGAAAGCUUACAUUAGAGAGAUUCCAAAAAGAAAAUCCUGGUUUUGACUUCAGUGGAGCAGAAAUCUCAGGAAACUACACUAAAGGUGGACCAGAUUUCUCAAACCUUGAGAAAUAACUGCUUUUUUUCCUGCAUUCUGUGGAUCCUAGCAGAUAUUGCCAACUUAAUCAGAUAAACAGAUUAUGUAAUGGAAGAAAAAUGCGGAUGCCUACAGUUAACAGAUUGCAAAAUGUAUCUUAAAAUGGUUCUAAAAAUUGCAUUCAAACAUAAUUUACAUAGGAAAUGUACUGUGGGAACUAUUCUAUGGAUAUAUGGUAAAGUUGUUUUGGACUUGUUUUUGCUCAGCAUGAAGUUUUAUAUGCUGCAUUUUACUAAUUCCAUAUUUAACCAUAUUUUUAAUACAAAAGAACAUUAGAGUAUAGAUCAUGUGAAAUGAAGGGUGCCUUUGGGGAAAAUUAACUUUUUCUUUUGAUAAGUAUGAUAUUCAAUAAAAUUUUCUAAAU
RNAcentral lists this long non-coding RNA (719 nucleotides) under Homo sapiens (human). RNAcentral describes it as "long non-coding RNA NONHSAT204952.1". Lineage: Eukaryota; Metazoa; Chordata; Mammalia; Primates; Hominidae. The record is from RNAcentral.